This 326-nucleotide ribosomal RNA is filed under the name Salmonella enterica. Its description in RNAcentral is "partial 23S ribosomal RNA". It matches the Rfam family "Bacterial large subunit ribosomal RNA", at positions 1431 to 1757 of the family's 2925-position model. Lineage: Bacteria; Pseudomonadati; Pseudomonadota; Gammaproteobacteria; Enterobacterales; Enterobacteriaceae. The record is from RNAcentral.
UAAUAUUCCCGUACUUGGUGUUACUGCGAAGGGGGGACGGAGAAGGCUAUGUUGGCCGGGCGACGGUUGUCCCGGUUUAAGCGUGUAGGUGUGUGUUCCAGGUAAAUCCGGUUCACUUUAACACUGAGGCGUGAUGACGAGGCACUACGGUGCUGAAGCAACAAAUGCCCUGCUUCCAGGAAAAGCCUCUAAGCAUCAGGUAACAUCAAAUCGUACCCCAAACCGACACAGGUGGUCAGGUAGAGAAUACCAAGGCGCUUGAGAGAACUCGGGUGAAGGAACUAGGCAAAAUGGUGCCGUAACUUCGGGAGAAGGCACGCUGACAC